AUUGAACGCUAGCGGGAUGCUUUACACAUGCAAGUCGAACGGCAGCGCGGACUUCGGUCUGGCGGCGAGUGGCGAACGGGUGAGUAAUGUAUCGGAACGUGCCCAGUAGCGGGGGAUAACUACGCGAAAGCGUAGCUAAUACCGCAUACGCCCUACGGGGGAAAGCAGGGGAUCGUAAGACCUUGCGCUAUUGGAGCGGCCGAUAUCGGAUUAGCUAGUUGGUGAGGUAACGGCUCACCAAGGCGACGAUCCGUAGCUGGUUUGAGAGGACGACCAGCCACACUGGGACUGAGACACGGCCCAGACUCCUACGGGAGGCAGCAGUGGGGAAUUUUGGACAAUGGGGGCAACCCUGAUCCAGCCAUCCCGCGUGUGCGAUGAAGGCCUUCGGGUUGUAAAGCACUUUUGGCAGGAAAGAAACGUCGCGGGCUAAUACCCCGUGGAACUGACGGUACCUGCAGAAUAAGCACCGGCUAACUACGUG
Molecule: ribosomal RNA, 484 nt
Filed under: uncultured bacterium
Lineage: Bacteria
Description: partial 16S ribosomal RNA
Rfam family: Bacterial small subunit ribosomal RNA
Source: RNAcentral